Molecule: long non-coding RNA, 231 nt
Organism: Alosa sapidissima (American shad)
Lineage: Eukaryota; Metazoa; Chordata; Actinopteri; Clupeiformes; Clupeidae
Exons: 3
Source: RefSeq, a predicted model, not a curated record
AGGUAUUUCAUUUUUGUAUAUACUGGUCUGGGUACACUGUAAAAUCUAACACUUGUGUAAACUUCCAUUAACCUUGUUUACUUUACUUUCAGCAACAAAUGUGUGCAUCUUAAUGAUUAGAGUAAAGUAACAGUUACUUCCAUGUUGAAAAAAGCAUGUUACUUCAUAAUAAGACUGAGGUCAACUUGUCUGAGACAAGUAACCUCAACAGUGACAAAUUUCUACCAUUAG